This 75-nucleotide transfer RNA is filed under the name Gordonia phage Keelan. Its description in RNAcentral is "tRNA-Leu". It matches the Rfam family "tRNA". Rfam says of the family: Transfer RNA (tRNA) molecules are approximately 80 nucleotides in length. Their secondary structure includes four short double-helical elements and three loops (D, anti-codon, and T loops). Further hydrogen bonds mediate the characteristic L-shaped molecular structure. tRNAs have two regions of fundamental functional importance: the anti-codon, which is responsible for specific mRNA codon recognition, and the 3' end, to which the tRNAs corresponding amino acid is attached (by aminoacyl-tRNA synthetases). tRNAs cope with the degeneracy of the genetic code in two manners: having more than one tRNA (with a specific anti-codon) for a particular amino acid; and 'wobble' base-pairing, i.e. permitting non-standard base-pairing at the 3rd anti-codon position. Lineage: Duplodnaviria; Heunggongvirae; Uroviricota; Caudoviricetes. The record is from RNAcentral.
GCCCCGGUAGCCCAAUUGGCAGAGGCGCAUGACUUAGACUCAUGAGGUUAGGGGUUCGAAUCCCUUGCGGGGCAC